UAUGAGCUCCAGAAGCCAGGCUGCUCGCUCUGCUGUACAUCGAGAGGGGAGGGAAAUGCAGUCCUGAUAUGAACUGUAAAAUCGAUUGUUUAACAGAGCUGGUCUUUGUGGCUGGGGCCUGGUGCCAAGGUUCUUCCCGCAGAACACCGGAGACCCUUUUGAGGUGUAAGAAAACCCCUUUCCCCCUCAUAUCGAAAAUGGGCCGCCUGAAUUUAUCCUGAGUACAAGGCAAGAAGAAUCAUUUCCCCAACCCCCCCCCCCCCCCCCCCCCCCCCGAGCAUUUUCUCUGCCCUGAGUACUCAGAACACAAAUAAAAGAAUCUGCAUUUCACUCAUUCCUGUCUCAAGUACCAAAUUAUGGUUUGCAGCAGUAGCUCUAAACCCCAUCCUGAUAUUGUGCACGGAAAUCCCAAGCACCUCUCCUUCCAUAUGUUUGGGAAUCCUCUCUGAAAUAUCCAGCCAUAGUUUCAGACAAAGGAGUUUUGAAAUUUGGGUAAAUUCAGAAAGGUAUAUCCCAGGAUACACCUUCAAGAUAACUCUUUAGGAUUCUAUGUUACUAUAGUGUAGGAUAAUAAAAUGUAAGAAUACAGUCCUGAGUGUUUUGGUGAAACCCCUUGGCAGUGAAUAUGGAAAGGUUUAAUUGAAAUGAUUUCUGAAUAGAGUUAACUUGUGUAUAGAUAAAGCCUUUUCUCAGCUCUAAGUGGCUUUAAAACACCUGUAAUUAAAGUACAACAUCCUCCUGGUUAUUUCAUGCUGCUGUAAGUACCUUUAUACAGAUAUUGAAACAGCCAUAGCAGGGUUUAUACAGAUAUAAACCAGCUGUACGUGGGCCAGCCCUGAAGUCAACCACUGCAAUUAACCUUACGCCACCAUUCUCCAUUUUAUUGUUAAGCAGUUGGCUAAAUGUAUUUGGUAAAAUGUCUUGCGAAGAAAUCAUGUUUACGAGUACUUUGGGCCAGUCUCUUGCCUGGUUUCAAAAAUUAUUUCUUUUUAAUUAUCAGGGCGCAUCCCUGUUCCUUAGGAGGCUUCGUGAUUUAGAGUACGGUACAGGAGGAAGUUGCUCGUCAGGUCUCGACACAGGACAGAAAGACAGCGUGUUCUGAGCAGGCAGCCUCACCGUGCCCGUGAACGUCCUUGCCAUCAAAUCCCUCCUCUUUUUCUGCUCAGAGCAGAAAACUCCUCUGUGAAGUAGGGUGACAAGUUUCCAGCGAGCCUGGGAUCGCGGGGAGGGCGAACGCCGAUAUCCCCGCGGUGUAAGGUAUGCACAUCUCGCCUCGUGCAGCCCAGGAGCAGGGCAGAGCCCAUUUUUCCUUCUCUCCUUUUUUUUGGAUCUGCGGGCACACACGCUCCCUCGCACGACGGAGCCGGCACGGCGAUAGUACGGUGCGAUACGAAUCGCAGGAAUUGAGUCAGCGCAGCUCUGCGGGGUGAUCUGUUCCCCUGCCGGGCUGCCACGCUGCUGGGGUGACCGGGAACGAUUUAUUACGGCCUGGGCCAACCCCGCUCUCCCUCCUUGCACCCCAUAAAGCCGCCAGGCCAGGGGCUGGGCACCCAGCUUCGCACCAAGGCUGGAUUACAGCCCCAAAGAUUUCUUCCAGGGGUGAAGCUAUGCUGGGAACGUGUCCCCCUUCCCCCAAUAAAUAAGAAAUAAAUCAGGAAAAUAAAUAAUAA
This 1670-nucleotide long non-coding RNA is filed under the name Anser brachyrhynchus (Pink-footed goose). RNAcentral's name for it is "lncRNA (ENSABRG00000004654.1)". The record is from RNAcentral. Lineage: Eukaryota; Metazoa; Chordata; Aves; Anseriformes; Anatidae.